RNAcentral lists this long non-coding RNA (496 nucleotides) under Gallus gallus (chicken). Lineage: Eukaryota; Metazoa; Chordata; Aves; Galliformes; Phasianidae. The record is from RNAcentral.
CCUCACUUCUUGCUGUUGAUAGAUCUGUGCUGUUUUGCUUUAUUAACUCACAAAUUCACUGUUGAGCAUUUUCAGUUGAAUUUAUUUUGUGAAAUAAUUCAAGUAGCGUGUUGACUAGAUGUACUGGUUUGGUUGUGAGGUGGGGAUGUGGUUGACCUCUGUCUUAUUUGGCUGUGAACAAUCUCCAUGGGAGCAUUCAUGCUCUUUGUAAGCACUUGGGCGUGCUGAUACCAACUCACAGUUAAGUUUUGUUGUUGCUCCUUUUUUUUUUUUUUUCAUUUCAAUUUUAGACCAUGAGAAUUUGCACCAAGGCUCCCCUGGUUUGAGUGGAGCUGCCUGGAUCAAACGCUGCCUGCUCUGCCCUGGCUGUUUUCUGUGGUUUGGUGUUCCUGGGAUAAUUGGUUUCUCUGUGACACACUGGGACUGGGCUCCGGUUCGGUGCCUUUUCCACCAGGCAAAGGUCUUUUUUAAGAGAUUAAAUUUCUAUAUGCGCUGG